CGUUAAGUACCGAAGGUCAUGAGUUCACACUGCCAAGAAAAGCUUCUAGCCAGGCGAAGGUGCCCGUACCGCAAACCGACACAGGUGGGUGAGAAGAGAAUUCUAAGGCGCGCGGAAGAACUCUCGUUAAGGAACUCGGCAAAAUGACCCCGUAACUUCGGGAGAAGGGGUGCCUCGGUAGGGUGAAUAGCCCGAGGGGGCCGCAGUGAAAAGGCCCAAGCGACUGUUUAGCAAAAACACAGGUCUGUGCGAAGCCGCAAGGCGAAGUAUACGGGCUGACGCCUGCCCGGUGCUGGAAGGUUAAGAGGAGUGGUUAGGGGCAACCCGAAGCUAUGAAUUGAAGCCCCAGUAAACGGCGGCCGUAACAAUAACGGUCCUAAGGUAGCGAAAUUCCUUGUCAGGUAAAUUCUGACCCGCACGAAUGGCGUAACGACUUGGGCGCUGUCUCAACGAGAGAUCCGGUGAAAUUUUAAUACCUGUGAAGAUGCAGGUUACCCGCGACAAGACGGAAAGACCCCAUGGAGCUUUACUGCAGCUUGAUAUUGGACUUUGGUACGAUCUGUACAGGAUAGGUGGGAGCCUUUGAAGCCUGAGCGCCAGCUUGGGUGGAGGCAUCGUUGGGAUACCACCCUGAUCGUAUCGGAGUUCUAACCUAGUACCGUGAUCCGGUAUGGGGACAGUGUCAGGUGGGCAGUUUGACUGGGGCGGUCGCCUCCUAAAAUGUAACGGAGGCGUUUAAAGGUUCCCUCAGAAUGGUUGGAAAUCAUUCGUAGAGUGCAAAGGCAUAAGGGAGCUUGACUGCGAGACCUACAAGUCGAGCAGGGACGAAAGUCGGACUUAGUGAUCCGGUGGUACCGAAUGGAAGGGCCAUCGCUCAACGGAUAAAAGCUACCCUGGGGAUAACAGGCUUAUCUCCCCCAAGAGUCCACAUCGACGGGGAGGUUUGGCACCUCGAUGUCGGCUCAUCGCAUCCUGGGGCUGAAGUAGGUCCCAAGGGUUGGGCUGUUCGCCCAUUAAAGCGGUACGCGAGCUGGGUUCAGAACGUCGUGAGACAGUUCGGUCCCUAUCUGUCGCGGGCGUAGGAAAUUUGAGAGGAGCUGUCCUUAGUACGAGAGGACCGGGAUGGACGUACCGCUGGUGUACCAGUUGUCUCGCCAGAGGCAUCGCUGGGUAGCUAUGUACGGAGGGGAUAAGCGCUGAAAGCAUCUAAGCGCGAAGCCCCCCUCAAGAUGAGAUUUCCCAGUAUGUAAGACCCCUUGUAGACGACGAGGUUGAUAGGUUCGAGGUGGAAGUGCGGCAACGUAUGCAGCUGACGAAUACUAAUCGGUCGAGGGCUUAAUC
Molecule: ribosomal RNA, 1341 nt
Filed under: metagenome
Description: bacterial LSU rRNA
Rfam family: Bacterial large subunit ribosomal RNA
Source: RNAcentral